RNAcentral lists this ribosomal RNA (515 nucleotides) under uncultured Glomeromycotina. RNAcentral's name for it is "SSU rRNA". It matches the Rfam family "Eukaryotic small subunit ribosomal RNA", at positions 569 to 1087 of the family's 1831-position model. Lineage: Eukaryota; Fungi; Glomeromycota. The record is from RNAcentral.
AGCAGCCGCGGUAAUUCCAGCUCCAAUAGCGUAUAUUAAAGUUGUUGCAGUUAAAAAGCUCGUAGUUGAAUUUCGGGAUUAGUACGUUGGUCGUGCCUUCGGUACGUACUGGUGUUACUGAUUCCUACCUUCUGACGAACCAUCAUGUCAUUAAUUUGGUGUGGUGGGGAAUCAGGACUGUUACUUUGAAAAAAUUAGAGUGUUUAAAGCAGGCUCGCGCUUGAAUACAUUAGCAUGGAAUAAUGAAAUAGGACGUUGACCCUAUUUUGUUGGUUUCUAGGAUUGACGUAAUGAUUAAUAGGGAUAGUUGGGGGCAUUAGUAUUCAAUUGUCAGAGGUGAAAUUCUUGGAUUUAUUGAAGACUAACUACUGCGAAAGCAUUUGCCAAGGAUGUUUUCAUUAAUCAAGAACGAAAGUUAGGGGAUCGAAGACGAUCAGAUACCGUCGUAGUCUUAACCAUAAACUAUGCCGACUAGGGAUCGGGGUGAUGUUAUUUUUAAUGACUCAUUCGGCGCC